GCCUGCGUAGCUCAGUUGGUAGAGCAGCGGUAUCGUAAACCGCAGGUCGUCGGUUCGACCCCGACCGCAGGCU
RNAcentral lists this transfer RNA (73 nucleotides) under Patescibacteria group bacterium. Its description in RNAcentral is "tRNA-Thr". It matches the Rfam family "tRNA". Rfam says of the family: Transfer RNA (tRNA) molecules are approximately 80 nucleotides in length. Their secondary structure includes four short double-helical elements and three loops (D, anti-codon, and T loops). The record is from RNAcentral.